RNAcentral lists this ribosomal RNA (468 nucleotides) under uncultured bacterium. RNAcentral describes it as "partial 16S ribosomal RNA". It matches the Rfam family "Bacterial small subunit ribosomal RNA", at positions 28 to 507 of the family's 1533-position model. The record is from RNAcentral.
GACGAACGCUGGCGGCGUGCUUAACACAUGCAAGUCGAACGGAAAGGCCCUGCUUUUGUGGGGUGCUCGAGUGGCGAACGGGUGAGUAACACGUGAGUAACCUGCCCUUGACUUUGGGAUAACUUCAGGAAACUGGGGCUAAUACCGGAUAGGAGCUCCUGCUGCAUGGUGGGGGUUGGAAAGUUUCGGCGGUUGGGGAUGGACUCGCGGCUUAUCAGCUUGUUGGUGGGGUAGUGGCUUACCAAGGCUUUGACGGGUAGCCGGCCUGAGAGGGUGACCGGCCACAUUGGGACUGAGAUACGGCCCAGACUCGUACGGGAGGCAGCAGUGGGGAAUAUUGCACAAUGGGCGGAAGCCUGAUGCAGCAACGCCGCGUGCGGGAUGACGGCCUUCGGGUUGUAAACCGCUUUCGCCUGUGACGAAGCGUGAGUGACGGUAAUGAGUAAAGAAGCACCGGCUAACUACGUG